This 57-nucleotide transfer RNA is filed under the name Phyllidia ocellata. RNAcentral's name for it is "tRNA-Ser". Lineage: Eukaryota; Metazoa; Mollusca; Gastropoda; Nudibranchia; Phyllidiidae. The record is from RNAcentral.
UGGAGAAUUAUGAUUUAGGCUGCUAACUUGAGUCUGGGAAAUUUUUUCCAUCUCCAU